AAAAAGACAAAUCCUGGGUUUCCGUGUCCAACUUUGACAGUCCGUCUUAUAUGAAAUUUUUUUAUAAUUUAUAUUUUCAUUGUUGUUAGAUGAUAAAACAUGAUUAAUAUUUUAUGCGUGACUUGUCUUUUUAAUUUUUUUCAUAAUUUUUUCAAAUAAGACGGAUGGUCAAAUAUUUGGUACGGAAACUAGGGUUUGUCUUUUU
This is a non-coding RNA of Oryza glumipatula, 205 nucleotides long. The record is from Rfam. Lineage: Eukaryota; Viridiplantae; Streptophyta; Magnoliopsida; Poales; Poaceae.